Molecule: ribosomal RNA, 253 nt
Filed under: uncultured bacterium
Lineage: Bacteria
Description: partial 16S ribosomal RNA
Rfam family: Bacterial small subunit ribosomal RNA
Source: RNAcentral
UACGUAGGGUGCAAGCGUUGUCCGGAAUUAUUGGGCGUAAAGGGCUCGUAGGCGGUCCAUCGCGUCGGGAGUGAAAAGCUGGGGCUUAACCCCAGUCCUGCUUCCGAUACGGGUGGACUAGAGGUAGGCAGGGGAGAACGGAAUUCCUGGUGUAGCGGUGAAAUGCGCAGAUAUCAGGAGGAACACCGAUGGCGAAGGCAGCCCCCUGGGCCAACACUGACGCUCAGGCACGAAAGCGUGGGGAGCAAACAGG